GGAAAUGCCGGGAAGGCAUAUGUUCCCUGCUUUGCACGCAGGAGGUCGGCGGUUCGAUCCCGCUCGGCUCCACCA
This 75-nucleotide transfer RNA is filed under the name Rhodospirillales bacterium. RNAcentral's name for it is "tRNA-Ala". Lineage: Bacteria; Pseudomonadati; Pseudomonadota; Alphaproteobacteria; Rhodospirillales. The record is from RNAcentral.